UACGGGGGGUGCAAGCGUUAAUCGGAAUUAUUGGGCGUAAAGGGUGCGUAGGUGGAGUAUUAAGUUAGCUGAGAAAAUCCUGGGCUUAACCUGGGCAUUUCAGCUAAGACUGAUAAACUAGAGUAUAGUAGAGGGUAGUGGAAUUUCCGGUGUAGCGGUGAAAUGCGUAGAUAUCGGAAGGAACACCGGUGGCGAAGGCGGCUACCUGGACUAAUACUGACACUGAGGCACGAAAGCGUGGGUAGCGAACAGGAUUAGAUACCCUGGUAGUCCAUGCUGUAAACGAUGUCAACUAGCUGUUGGUCUUAUAAAAGAGAUAAGUAGCGCAGCAAACGCGAUAAGUUGACCGCCUGGGGAGUACGGUCGCAAGAUUAAA
This 376-nucleotide ribosomal RNA is filed under the name uncultured bacterium. Its description in RNAcentral is "bacterial SSU rRNA". It matches the Rfam family "Bacterial small subunit ribosomal RNA", at positions 524 to 898 of the family's 1533-position model. The record is from RNAcentral.